Halichondria panicea is the source of this 4107-nucleotide RNA transcript. RefSeq lists it as uncharacterized. The record is from RefSeq and is a predicted model, not a curated record. The transcript has 27 exons. NCBI's taxonomy places the organism in Eukaryota, Metazoa, Porifera, Demospongiae, Suberitida, Halichondriidae.
AAGAAAUAGCUAGUUUUUGAGCUGAUAAUUGUAAAUCUUUGUAAUUCUUUGCCAGCUCGAUUUACGUAUACACUGUGUUCUCUGAGGUGGUUAUGAAGACAGCUGCAUUCCUAUUGGGCGUCUUGUGCCUGUGGUCAUGGAAACCAGCCAGCGCACAGACUGUCUCCAUUGAAAACCCUACUUACAUUGCGACAGAGGGAGGCGACAGUUUGACUAUCUGUGUGGUGCUGGACAUGAACAGUGUACCCAUUACACAGGCCUCUCAAGUUGCUCUGACUAUAGACUUGCCCCUUAUCAACUUCCAGUUACUUGUGACUUUGUCGCUAGACCCCGGCGUUGAUAGGAUGUGUGGAUCGUUAAAUUUCCCCAACAACAAUGUUGACGACGGAACUCAAACUCUGACUAUCCAGGCGACCACUAACAGUGCUGGUAUUAGUUUGGGCCGGAGUGUUGCAACUCUGACUCUAUUGGAUGAUGAUGGUGUACCGAUGUGUCCAGGUCUGAGCAACCCAGAGAACGGUGCCGUCUCUUUCUCUCAAGGUAUGAUUGAAGGCUCCGUGGCAAUGUACUCGUGUAACACCCCCUAUAUCCUCAACGGGAACACUCAACGAACAUGCACUGUAUUGGUUGGGGCGGGUUUACUCUGGACUGGGACUGAACCAACAUGCGAGUUCCCAACCUCCAAUAGCGCUUCGAUAUCCUAUCAACUUGCUGCCUACACUGUCAUGGAGGCUAGUAGUACCCAGGUCUGCAUAGUCAUUGAGGGUGGCUUCGUCGGAAUUUCCUUUGGUAUCUGGUAUCACCGUGUCUUUCCUUCUUUUUCUAUUUGGGCCCACUGGGAAUUCCGCGCUGGAUUGGUGGCUGGAGACGUAGUGUGCGGUACUUUGUCUGCUGCCGAAGACAACCUUCGCGAAAAUGGCGCGACGGUCACCGUUCCUCUUGAGAUCCCAGGGAACGUGACAGGUGUUUCUGCUGUGGGAAACACUGCUUUCUCUCUUACCUUCCUCGAUAACGACGGUCCUGAAAUAGACGAGUGUGCUAUGGGUCUUGAUAACUGUUCCCCAAAUGCUUUGUGCACGAACACACCGGGAGGCUUCUUCUGUACUUGUAACUCUGGCUUCACUGGAAAUGGAGUGACUUGUUUCGAUAUCGACGAGUGUAGUCUCAGCACGAACAACUGCUCUUUUAAUGGUGCUUGUUUGAACACUGAGGGUUCCUUCCUGUGCUUCUGUAACAUUGGCUUCAGUGGAGAUGGUGUCGUGUGUGAAAAUGACAACGAGUGUAUGCUUGGCACUGACAACUGCGAUGACAAUGCUCUCUGUAUAGACACUUUUGGAGGGUUCCUUUGCAACUGUAACUCUGGUUUCCGUGGUAAUGGAAUGACCUGUCUUGAUGAAGAUGAGUGUGCUCUUGGCACGGAUAAUUGUGCUGACGAAGCUACGUGCACUAACUUUAUCGGGGGAUUCACUUGUACUUGCCCUUCAGGUUUCACGGGAGACGGUGGGACUUGCGUUGAUAUUGACGAGUGUGCCGUGGGUUCCGAUGAUUGCGAUGCCAAUGCUGCUUGUAUUAACAAUGCCGGCUCUUUCGACUGUCUUUGUUUCGUUGGUUUCCGUGGAGACGGUCGCUCUGGCAACUGUGCUGAUAUUGACGAAUGUAGUGAGGAUCAGGAUGACUGCGACGACGACAAUGCUCAGUGUACUAACACAAUGGGCAGCUUCACUUGUGCUUGUGACUCCGGUUACUUUGGUGAUGGAUCUAUGUGCACAGACAUAGACGAGUGUGCCUCUGAACAGGACAACUGUCACCCCAAUGCCACCUGCACAAACACCCCCGGCAACUUCAGCUGUGUCUGUGAUGAUGACUUCUUUGGAAACGGCGUCGUUUGCAUGCCGGACAUGGUUCAGCUACGACUGGUCCCACAGCUCUACAGUGUGGUGGAGGGGGAGUACCUUGCCGUCGCUAUCAAUGUGUACAAUCCUAGCGAUGAGAACAUCACAGUAUCCGGAAGCUUCCAUGUAUCCGGUGGUGUAUUCAGAUUUUACGUAUUCUUCACUUUUGAGGCACUGGCUCAAGCCACGUUUGUCGAAUAUGUGAACGUUAUGUUUCCUGAUGAUAGCAUUCUCAACAAGAUGGCGCAACAGAGCGUGGAAUUGGAACUGGAAUCAACCAGUGAAUUGGCAGUGGUCGUCGAGGGUUACGAUUCCGCUGAUAUUAUUGUUGUUGAUGAUGACAUUGUCAAGAUUGGCUUCAAUGCGACGCGGGUGUAUGUCCUGGAGGAUGCUGGUUUGGUGCAUGUGUGCGUGGAGCUCAUCCGAGGAGAGGGUUGCCAACGCCCCAUAGUGCUACGUGCGAACACAAAGGAGUGCCCCGACGACGCCUACCCUGCCGAUGAAGGUGCUGACUUCGAAGCCCUAUGGGAGAUUGGCUCCAUCGCUAUCAACUCAGAGCAGGGCUCGACAGAAUGUUUCUAUGUGAAUAUCGAAGAUGAUAUUAACAUUGAAGCAAACGAAACAUUCAAAAUCAUGUUGGAAGCUGUGGACGUUAACGUGUAUGUACUGGUUGACACGGUAACCGUAGUCAUCAUUGAUGACGACAACAUUACUCGGUUCUGUCCUGAACUCAGCGUUGCCAAUGGUAGCGUCACUGUUGGUGGUGGUCAACAGCUAAUGGGAGAGCAGGCGGUGGGAACCACGGCCCAUUACAGUUGUGACGAGUUCUACGAGCUGGAGGCUGGCAAUCCAUACCGGAACUGCCAGGCGAAUGGAACCUGGACAGGAGAGGAUCUGACCUGCAUGCGCAUUGCUAUCAACUUGACCUGUACCCCCUUCAUGGGGGGCAACCCCGUAGUGCAACCUGACCUUAGUUGUACGGCAAUGGGUCCACUCCCUACCUUCAAUACUGUCUGUAGCUUUAACGACGGAGCAUAUGAAGAAUGUGAUCUUGCGGCACCUAUAUCAAGUGAAGUGGUUGGCCGACUUGGUUCUGGUAACCACACCCUCUAUAUUAUGGUUACGGACAGCGAUGGAGAGACAGCUCAGUUUUCAUUCGAUUUCAUGAUUGCUCCAGCACUCGGACUUAACUGUGUGCGAGUGGAGCUCACAGCUUUCUUCUAUAGCUUCACCUGCACAGCUGACACCAGCUUGACAUCUUUGUUAUGUUCCGUGAACCCAAGUCUCGGCAAUGUCCCUUGUAUGCUAGACGUAGUCAACACCAUUCCGGCCCCACCUCUCAUGGACGGUGUCGAUUAUAGCCUCACAGUCACAGCUAUUGAUGUCUUCCAGCAGCAAGAAGUCGUUACCAGAACAUUCACACUCCCAGAUGCACCUACCCUAGAGGUGCUGUUCAUUGAUGAUACACCUAUUGUGGACGGAACUGGUAUAGUAGUCUCAUUCGAAGCAAAUAAUCCUUUGGCAUCAGCUACCUGUGCCAUUUCUGGUCGCAACCCUAUUUCUGGGCCAUGUAAUCUCGGUAUGGAUGCAUUCUCUGGUAGCUUUGUGUUCUCUCCAGUGGACAGAGUUGGUCCUAGAGACAUCACCAUCACAGCUACAGCUUCUAACGGCCAGACUUUCACACUAACCAGAGGAGUUCGUUCAGGUUCGACUGGACGGUGUUCCGCUCAUCUCAUCAACGAAGGAGUGGUUAUCAGCGGCACCAGUGUAACUGUGGAGUUUAUGAUCUCUGGGCCAACUGACGACAAUACAAGUAGUACCUGCCGAAUCGGCUCGCAAGUACUGGAUCCUUGUAAGCAGUUUGCAUGAUACUGAGUGCAUGUGUACGUAGUUUAGCGGCGCCUUUUGAUACAGAUCUAGUCGGGCAUCGCCGCCCUCCUUCCGGGAACUGGUAGAGGGCGGCGGCGCCCGACUAAUACAGAACCUCCUCGUACGUACUCAAAACAUUUUGGGUCCACAAUGUGUUAGUGUUCGUAUAUCUGUUUGUCUAUACAUGACAUGCAUAUACAUUGUAGAUAAUAUGAAAUUGUCACGUUAUAAUUUGCAUUAUCUAUACCCCCACAGUGACACAAACUUACCCCACCACUCCACACACGCACACACACACACACACACACACACACACACACACACACACACACACACACACACACAG